This 1084-nucleotide unclassified non-coding RNA is filed under the name Hevea brasiliensis (rubber tree). Lineage: Eukaryota; Viridiplantae; Streptophyta; Magnoliopsida; Malpighiales; Euphorbiaceae. The record is from RNAcentral.
AAUCGGAGGCGCAGAAGAGGAAGAAUCGCCAGUCGUCUUCGCUGCUGUCAGUACCACACCAAUGGCUGCGAUCUUAGCUCGCAAGUCUCUCUCCGCGCUUCGUGCUCGUCAGCUUGUGAGAACUCUUUAGCCCUAACUUUCUAUGAAAGCUUGUUUCGCUUCCUUUUUUUGUGUAGUCUCCGAGAAAAUGUAGGAAAUGGUGAAAUCCAUAUAAAUUUGAUUCUCAACUCGCUAUUAUCUGCAACUGAGGCUAAUAUUCCUUCUUCUUUUUCAUUGUCUUGUAUAAUUUCGCAUUUAGGUGAUAUGUGAUUUGUGGUGAUCUGGAUUAUUUGGUAGAUUGGGAUCCUUUGUGAUUGCAAAUGAAUUUACUGACUCAAAGUUCAAUUUCUCGCCACUUUGAAUAGAAACUCUUGACGUUUCAAUGGAUUUCUGGUUCUACAGUGCGUUGAAGUGGAUGUGCACUUGACCGUUUGUUAUUACAUCUAGCAAUAUAAAGUCUCAUUUUGAACGUGGCAUUGUGCUCUUUGUUUUAUGGAUAUAAGAAAUGAAGUCCUUGCUUUGUUUUAUUUCUGUCAUUUAAUUUGUGUGGUUGCUGUAAGCUGCUGAAUUUAGGUACCACCAUAACUCUGGUAGCUUUGUUCUUCAAGUAAAUGGUAUACCCAUAGUUAGGUUAAUAUCAUUCUGGAAAAGAAAACAUAAAACUUUGUGGCUAUAAGGUAAUUGUUAGGGUAAUGAAAGAGUGGUUUGUGGUGGAAUUUCUCUUAUUGGGUUACAUUUUUUGAAAGGAUAGUGUACUUUGGAAUAACUGUUUUGAUUUUGUUAAUGUUACUGGUAUAACUUCUAUGUUUGACCUUUUUUAUGUUUUCUUUUGAAGAUAUAUAUGUUAGCAGCUGCAUAGUGCAAUUGCUGACACUCCUGUUUUGCCGCUGUUGUGAGUGCAACAAAAAUAAGGAUUACUAUUGCUCUUCUAGCCCUUUUGUCUACAAGUGGCAUUUUUCAUAAUGUUUUGUGCGUUGCCUUUUCUCAUCCUUGUUUGUUAUUAGCUUAAAGUUAUGUAAUAUAUUUCCAUGAUUUGUGUAUUUAG